RNAcentral lists this ribosomal RNA (491 nucleotides) under uncultured bacterium. RNAcentral describes it as "partial 16S ribosomal RNA". It matches the Rfam family "Bacterial small subunit ribosomal RNA", at positions 29 to 506 of the family's 1533-position model. The record is from RNAcentral.
AGUGAACGCUGGCGGUAGGCCUAACACAUGCAAGUCGAACGGCAGCACAGUAAGAGCUUGCUCUUACGGGUGGCGAGUGGCGGACGGGUGAGGAAUACAUCGGAAUCUACUUUUUCGUGGGGGAUAACGUAGGGAAACUUACGCUAAUACCGCAUACGACCUACGGGUGAAAGCAGGGGAUCUUCGGACCUUGCGCGAUUGAAUGAGCCGAUGUCGGAUUAGCUAGUUGGCGGGGUAAAGGCCCACCAAGGCGACGAUCCGUAGCUGGUCUGAGAGGAUGAUCAGCCACCCGGGAACUGGAACACGGCCCGGCCCCCCAGGGGGGGCAGCAGGGGGAAAUUUUGGAAAAGGGGGGCAACCCUGACCCGGCCAACCCGGGGGGGUGAAAAAGGCCUUCGGGUGGUAAAGCCCUUUUGUUGGGAAAAAAAAGCAGCAGGUUAAUCCCCCGCUGUUCUGACGGUACCAAAAAAAAAAGCACCGGCUAACUUCGU